AUUGAACGCUGGCGGCAGGCUUAACACAUGCAAGUCGAACGGUAGCAGGAGAAAGCUUGCUUUCUUGCUGACGAGUGGCGGACGGGUGAGUAAUGCUUGGGAAUCUGGCUUAUGGAGGGGGAUAACGACGGGAAACUGUCGCUAAUACCGCGUAUUAUCGGAAGAUGAAAGUGCGGGACUGAGAGGCCGCAUGCCAUAGGAUGAGCCCAAGUGGGAUUAGGUAGUUGGUGGGGUAAAGGCCUACCAAGCCUGCGAUCUCUAGCUGGUCUGAGAGGAUGACCAGCCACACUGGAACUGAGACACGGUCCAGACUCCUACGGGAGGCAGCAGUGGGGAAUAUUGCGCAAUGGGGGGAACCCUGACGCAGCCAUGCCGCGUGAAUGAAGAAGGCCUUAGGGUUGUAAAGUUCUUUCGGUAUUGAGGAAGGUUGAUGUGUUAAUAGCACAUCAAAUUGACGUUAAAUACAGAAGAAGCACCGGCUAACUCCGUGCCAGCAGCCGCGGUAAUACGGAGGGUGCGAGCGUUAAU
Molecule: ribosomal RNA, 528 nt
Filed under: uncultured bacterium
Lineage: Bacteria
Description: bacterial SSU rRNA
Rfam family: Bacterial small subunit ribosomal RNA
Source: RNAcentral